AGCAACCAUAACCAUCUUCUCUCCCUGCAACUUCCAUCACAAUGAUAUUAACAUGAUCUUUAAAGUAACCGAAGAAAAAUAAACGGAACAUGCAGGGAUUGUUAAAGAAAGAUUUGGACACUAGCUUCAAAUGUUACUUUUUAUUGCAAUACCAUGAUCAUGAUUAUUACAGCUACUAACAAAUGGAACCUACUUCACCAAACUCUUGGUAAAAAUGAACUACUCAAUCACUUAACCCCAUCAACUUGGUUAUCAAAGCUGCAGAUGUUUCCCUUUUCUGCUCUACCCACUUUGACUUUUUAAAUGGGAAGUUUAGCCAUAGCUACUAAUCAAAACUUAAUAGAAGUUUCCACUCUGUAGCAAAGGCAAAAUGAA
RNAcentral lists this unclassified non-coding RNA (375 nucleotides) under Hevea brasiliensis (rubber tree). Lineage: Eukaryota; Viridiplantae; Streptophyta; Magnoliopsida; Malpighiales; Euphorbiaceae. The record is from RNAcentral.